GAUGAACGCUGGCGGCGUGCCUAAUACAUGCAAGUCGAGCGAACAGAUAAGGAGCUUGCUCCUUUGACGUUAGCGGCGGACGGGUGAGUAACACGUGGAUAACCUACCUAUAAGACUGGGAUAACUUCGGGAAACCGGAGCUAAUACCGGAUAACAUAUUGAACCGCAUGGUUCAAUAGUGAAAGGCGGCUUUGCUGUCACUUAUAGAUGGAUCCGCGCCGUAUUAGCUAGUUGGUAAGGUAACGGCUUACCAAGGCAACGAUACGUAGCCGACCUGAGAGGGUGAUCGGCUACACUGGAACUGAGACACGGUCCAGACUCCUACGGGAGGCAGCAGUAGGGAAUCUUCCGCAAUGGGCGAAAGCCUGACGGAGCAACGCCGCGUGAGUGAUGAAGGUCUUCGGAUCGUAAAACUCUGUUAUCAGGGAAGAACAAAUGUGUAAGUAACUGUGCACAUCUUGACGGUACCUGAUCAGAAAGCCACGGCUAACUACGUG
RNAcentral lists this ribosomal RNA (497 nucleotides) under uncultured bacterium. RNAcentral's name for it is "partial 16S ribosomal RNA". It matches the Rfam family "Bacterial small subunit ribosomal RNA", at positions 28 to 507 of the family's 1533-position model. The record is from RNAcentral.